AUGAAAACACCGAGUAGAUCUGGCUGGAGAACACAGAAGGUCAGGGCUGGGAGGGGGCUUAGAACAGGGAAUGUCAGAGCUGGGAGGAACCUUAGAACAGAGAAUGUCAGAACUGGGAGGGAGCUUAGAACUGAGAAUGUCAGGCCUGGGAGAGAGCUUAGAACUGAGAAUGUCAGGACUGAGAGGGAGCUUAGAACUGAGAAUGUCAGGACUGGGAGGGAGCUUAGAACUGAGAAUGUCAGGGCUGGGAAGGAGCUUAGAACAGGAAGUGUCAGAGCUGGGAGGAACCUUAGAACAGAGAAUGUCAGAACUGGGAGGGAGCUUAGAACUGAGAAUGUCAGGACUGGGAGGGAGCUUAGAACUGAGAAUGUCAGGACUGAGAGGGAGCUUAGAAGUGAGAAUGUCAGGACUGGGAGGGAGCUUAGAACAGGGAGUGUCAGAGCUGGGAGGAACCUUAGAACAGAGAAUGUCAGAACUGGGAGGGAGCUUAGAACUGAGAAUGUCAGGCCUGGGAGGGAGCUUAGAACUGAGAAUGUCAGGACUGAGAGGGAGCUUAGAACUGAGAAUGUCAGGACUGGGAGGGAGCUUAGAACUGAGAAUGUCAGGGCUGGGAAGGAGCUUAGAACAGGAAGUGUCAGAGCUGGGAGGAACCUUAGAACAAAGAAUGUCAGAACUGGGAGGGAGCUUAGAACUGAGAAUGUCAGGACUGGGAGGGAGCUUAGAACUGAGAAUGUCAGGACUGAGAGGGAGCUUAGAACUGAGAAUGUCAGGACUGGGAAGGAGCUUAGAACAGGAAGUGUCAGAGCUGGGAGGAACCUUAGAACAGAGAAUGUCAGAACUGGGAGGGAGCUUAGAACUGAGAAUGUCAGGACUGGGAGGGAGCUUAGAACUGAGAAUGUCAGGACUGAGAGGGAGCUUAGAACUGAGAAUGUCAGGACUGGGAGGGAGCUUAGAACAGGGAGUGUCAGAGCUGGGAGAGAAUUUAGAACAGGGAAUGUCAUGGGAAGGGCAGGGGGAGGGGAGGGAGGAAUAGAAUAUGAUUUUUACAACUAA
Molecule: long non-coding RNA, 1053 nt
Filed under: Monodelphis domestica (gray short-tailed opossum)
Lineage: Eukaryota; Metazoa; Chordata; Mammalia; Didelphimorphia; Didelphidae
Description: lncRNA (ENSMODG00000042672.1)
Source: RNAcentral